CCUACGGGUGGCAGCAGUGAGGAAUAUUGGUCAAUGGACGCAAGUCUGAACCAGCCAAGUAGCGUGCAGGAUGACGGCCCUCCGGGUUGUAAACUGCUUUUAGUUGGGAAUAAAAGGUGGCUCGUGAGCCCCGUAUUGUAUGUACCAUCAGAAAAAGGACCGGCUAAUACCGUGCCAGCAGCCGCGGUAAUACGGAGGGUCCGGGCGUUAUCCGGAGUUAUUGGGUUUAAAGGGAGCGUAGGCCGGCUUUUAAGUCAUCGGUGAAGGUCCGCGGCUAAACCGUGGAAUUGCAGUUGAAACUGGAGGCUUGGAGUGCACACAGGGAUGCAGAAAUUCAGGGUGUAGCGGUGAAAUGCU
RNAcentral lists this ribosomal RNA (357 nucleotides) under uncultured bacterium. RNAcentral's name for it is "partial 16S ribosomal RNA". It matches the Rfam family "Bacterial small subunit ribosomal RNA", at positions 338 to 690 of the family's 1533-position model. The record is from RNAcentral.